This 319-nucleotide ribosomal RNA is filed under the name uncultured eukaryote. RNAcentral describes it as "partial 18S ribosomal RNA". It matches the Rfam family "Eukaryotic small subunit ribosomal RNA", at positions 1470 to 1796 of the family's 1831-position model. The record is from RNAcentral.
CCCUUAGAUGUUCUGGGCCGCACGCGCGCUACAAUGGUCUUCGCAAACGGAUGCAUUCUCGAAGGAGAAUGCCAAUCUUGGAAUCUAUGCCUUGGUCGGGACAGUUGCUUGCAGUUUUUCGACUCGAACCAGGAAUUCCUUGUAAUCGUGAUUCAUCACAUCACGAUGAAUACGUCCCUGCCCUUUGUACACACCGCCCGUCGCUCCUACCGAUCGAAGAGUUAGGUGAAUUGUUUUGAUCGAUAAGAUUUGACUAUGGUCAACUCUCGUUGUGAAAUUCUGUGAAUCUGACUGUUUAGAGGAAGGAAAAGUCGUAACA